AGAAAGAAAGAAAGAAAGAAAGAAAGAAAGAAAGAAAGAAAGAAAGAGAGCGAGGGAGCGCGAGGAGGCGUGGGGGGCGGGGGUGGGGGCGGCUCUGCGCGGGGCCUGCGUGGCGCGCGGAGCGGGUUGCGGGGCUUCCCCAGGCGGAUGCCCUUGAGCCGGUCUCCUUGGGGGGCCGCCCCCCGCCCCCGCCCCGGGUCCCCGGCCGCCGCGGGCCGCACACCCACGGAGGGCGCUGGGCUGGGCGACGCCGGCCGCGCGGACCCGCCCCCUGCGCGCCGCCCGGAUUGGCUCGUCGGAGCCGCGUCCCGGGUGCAGCCAAUGAGGCGGCCGGGGCGGGGGCUGCGGGGCGGGGCGCGGGGCGGCCGCCUCCUCCCGGAGGGAUUCCUGGAGGAGCUGCAGUGUGGGGAUGCUCUAGCCCGAGCGCUGCCCUCCGCGCCGCUCCUCCUCCGCCUCCGCCUCCGCCUCCUCCGCCUCCCGCAGCCGCAACUUGCAGCCGCGCCCGGGCCAGCCCCCCGGGGUGGUGUGCGCGGCGCCCCAGGGGCUGCCCCUCCACGAGCAGAGGCAGCGGGAGGACGCGCGCGCCCGCACGGGUCCACGCGGGCAGAGCCGCGGGGACGGACACCGGCACCCCCGGGUCCUGCCUCCAGGGAAAACACGAAAACGAGAACCAGCAAGAGCUUGAGUGACAAACGCCUGGCUUGA
This 705-nucleotide long non-coding RNA is filed under the name Canis lupus familiaris (dog). RNAcentral describes it as "lncRNA (ENSCAFG00030023467.1)". Lineage: Eukaryota; Metazoa; Chordata; Mammalia; Carnivora; Canidae. The record is from RNAcentral.